This is a non-coding RNA of Pelobates cultripes (western spadefoot toad), 251 nucleotides long. The record is from the annotation of a GenBank genome assembly. Lineage: Eukaryota; Metazoa; Chordata; Amphibia; Anura; Pelobatidae.
CUUGUGGGCCCUCUGUGGAUCUACAGACCUCGUACUAGCUGACGGAACCCUCAAGAUGGCGACCGUAUGCAACCCAGCGGUGACUACGAGGCAUGCGCGCCUCAGACACCUGUAAGAACUUCAUGGAAACAUCCGACCAUCUAUGUGCCGAAUUGUGGACAAAAUUGGAGUCCAGACCAAAUUUAAGGAGCCCUCUCAAAGCCUGAGCAAGCAGUGGAACCAUGUGGUCGGUUGGAGCAUCUGAGGUCCCG